This 460-nucleotide ribosomal RNA is filed under the name uncultured bacterium. RNAcentral's name for it is "bacterial SSU rRNA". It matches the Rfam family "Bacterial small subunit ribosomal RNA", at positions 29 to 524 of the family's 1533-position model. The record is from RNAcentral.
AACGAACGCUGGCGGCAUGCCUAACACAUGCAGGUCGAACGGGAUCCUGGCUUCGGCCAGGUGAGAGUGGCGGACGGGUGAGUAACGCGUGGGAACCUGCCCAUUGGUCUGGGAUAACUGCGGGAAACUGCAGCUAAUACCGGAUGUACCCGAGAGGGGAAAGAUUUAUCGCCGAUGGAGGGGCCCGCGUCAGAUUAGGUAGUUGGUGAGGUAACGGCUCACCAAGCCUACGAUCUGUAGCUGGUCUGAGAGGAUGAUCAGCCACACUGGGACUGAGAUACGGCCCAGACUCCUACGGGAGGCAGCAGUGGGGAAUAUUGGACAAUGGGGGCAACCCUGAUCCAGCAAUGCCGCGUGAGUGAUGAAGGCCUUAGGGUGUAAAGCUCUCUUACCCAGGGACGAUGAUGACGGUACCUGGAGAAUAAGCCCCGGCUAACUUCGUGCCAGCAGCCGCGGUAAU